GAUGAACGCUGGCGGUAUGCUUAACACAUGCAAGUCGAACGGACUCUUCGGAGUUAGUGGCGGACGGGUGAGUAACGCGUGAGAAUCUGGCUUUGGGUUCGGGACAACCACUGGAAACGGUGGCUAAUACCGGAUGUGCCGAGAGGUAAAAGAGAAAUUGCCUGAGGAUGAACUCGCGUCUGAUUAGCUAGUUGGUGAGGUAAAGGCUCACCAAGGCAGCGAUCAGUAGCUGGUCUGAGAGGAUGACCAGCCACACUGGGACUGAGACACGGCCCAGACUCCUACGGGAGGAAGCAGUGGGGAAUUUUCCGCAAUGGGCGAAAGCCUGACGGAGCAAUACCGCGUGAGGGAAGAAGGCUCUUGGGUUGUAAACCUCUUUUCUUAGGGAAGAACAAAAUGACGGUACCUAAGGAAUCAGCAUCGGCUAACUCCGUG
RNAcentral lists this ribosomal RNA (435 nucleotides) under uncultured bacterium. RNAcentral describes it as "partial 16S ribosomal RNA". It matches the Rfam family "Bacterial small subunit ribosomal RNA", at positions 28 to 507 of the family's 1533-position model. The record is from RNAcentral.